GACGAACGCUGGCGGCGUGCUUAACACAUGCAAGUCGAACGGAAAGGCCUCUUUCGGGGGGUACUCGAGUGGCGAACGGGUGAGUAACACGUGAGUAACCUGCCCUUGACUUUGGGAUAACUUCAGGAAACUGGGGCUAAUACCGGAUAGGAGCUCCUGCUGCAUGGUGGGGGUUGGAAAGUUUCGGCGGUUGGGGAUGGACUCGCGGCUUAUCAGCUUGUUGGUGGGGUAGUGGCUUACCAAGGCUUUGACGGGUAGCCGGCCUGAGAGGGUGACCGGCCACAUUGGGACUGAGAUACGGCCCAGACUCCUACGGGAGGAAGCAGUGGGGAAUAUUGCACAAGGGGUGGAAGCCUGAUGCAGCAACGCCGUGUGCGGGAUGACGGCCUUCGGGUUGUAAACCGCUUUCGCUCAUGACGAAGCUUUGUGUGACGGUAGUGGGUAAAGAAGCACCGGCUAACUACGUG
RNAcentral lists this ribosomal RNA (467 nucleotides) under uncultured bacterium. RNAcentral's name for it is "partial 16S ribosomal RNA". It matches the Rfam family "Bacterial small subunit ribosomal RNA", at positions 28 to 507 of the family's 1533-position model. The record is from RNAcentral.